This 456-nucleotide ribosomal RNA is filed under the name uncultured bacterium. Its description in RNAcentral is "bacterial SSU rRNA". It matches the Rfam family "Bacterial small subunit ribosomal RNA", at positions 28 to 518 of the family's 1533-position model. The record is from RNAcentral.
GACGAACGCUGGCGGUGUGCUUAAUACAUGCAAGUCGAACGGACCCUUCGGGGUUAGUGGCGGACGGCUGAGUAACACGUAGAUAACAUGCCCUUUACUGGGGGAUAACACCGGGAAACCGGUGCUAAUACCGCAUAAGCCUGAGGUUGAAAUACCUUUGGUUAAAGAUUUAUCGGUAAAGGAUUGGUCUGCGCCUGAUUAGCUUGUUGGUAGGGUAAAGGCCUACCAAGGCAAUGAUCAGUAGUUGGCUGAGAGGAUGACCAGCCAGAGUGGGACUGAGAACGGCCCACACUUCUACGGAAGGCAGCAGUAGGGAAUUUUGCGCAAUGGGCGAAAGCCUGACGCAGCAACACCGCGUGUAGGAUGAAGGUCUUCGGAUUGUAAACUACUGUCAGCAGGGAAUAAAUUGACUGUACCUGCAGAGGAAGCAUCGGCUAACUACGUGCCAGCCGCCGC